UAGGGAAUCUUCGGCAAUGGGGGGAACCCUGACCGAGCAACGCCGCGUGAGUGAAGAAGGUUUUCGGAUCGUAAAGCUCUGUUGUUAAGGAAGAACGAGUGUGAGAAUGGAAAGUUCAUGCUGUGACGGUACUUAACCAGAAAGGGACGGCUAACUACGUGCCAGCAGCCGCGGUAAUACGUAGGUCCCGAGCGUUGUCCGGAUUUAUUGGGCGUAAAGCGAGCGCAGGCGGUUAGAAAAGUCUGAAGUGAAAGGCAGUGGCUCAACCAUUGUAGGCUUUGGAAACUGUUUAACUUGAGUGCAGAAGGGGAGAGUGGAAUUCCAUGUGGAGCGGUGAAAUGCGUAGAUAUAUGGAGGAACACCGGUGGCGAAAGCGGCUCUCUGGUCUGAAACUGACGAUGAGGCUCGAAAGCGUGGGGAGCGAACAGG
This 429-nucleotide ribosomal RNA is filed under the name Bacteroidota bacterium. RNAcentral describes it as "Bacteroidetes bacterium partial 16S ribosomal RNA". It matches the Rfam family "Bacterial small subunit ribosomal RNA", at positions 355 to 776 of the family's 1533-position model. The record is from RNAcentral. Lineage: Bacteria; Pseudomonadati; Bacteroidota.